UACGUAGGGCGCAAGCGUUAUCCGGAAUUAUUGGGCGUAAAGAGCUCGUAGGCGGUUUGUCGCGUCUGCCGUGAAAGUCCGGGGCUCAACUCCGGAUCUGCGGUGGGUACGGGCAGACUAGAGUGAUGUAGGGGGGACUGGAAUUCCUGGUGUAGCGGUGAAAUGCGCAGAUAUCAGGAGGAACACCGGUGGCGAAGGCGGGUCUCUGGGCCGAUACUGACGCUGAGGAGCGAAAGCGUGGGGAGCGAACAGG
RNAcentral lists this ribosomal RNA (253 nucleotides) under uncultured bacterium. RNAcentral's name for it is "partial 16S ribosomal RNA". It matches the Rfam family "Bacterial small subunit ribosomal RNA", at positions 524 to 776 of the family's 1533-position model. The record is from RNAcentral.